CCCUGAGCGUGCUUCUGUACCGUUUGGAGCAGCUGUUCUGAUGGGCAGUCCUAACUCUGAAAUCCUGUCACAGACGAGCUCCACUGACCCGUGACCAUGAACUGAGCAAGCUACGAGAUGAGUGGCAAAUUCAAGCUGACCUUACAUUCCAAGGUCCUCCAUGGAGAAGGAAACCUGCAGCUCAAUCAAUACUCAUCCUUCCUGACAACCUGCUUUCUGGAAAAGGCCUCUUUUGGGGGGUAAAAGGCUAAAGAGGGCUUUAAAAAUUCAGUCUGCACUGAAAGAGAACUUCCACAGUGAUAGAUGUGAGGUUCUGGAAGAGAAACAGCAGAAGUCCUUGAGAGGAAAGCCAAAGCCAAUCUCUCCAAACAUCUCAAAGUGGACGCAUCUGCAUUUGUCAAACUCGGCCUGUGCCAGGGUCUCAUCCAACAGGACGGGACAUGGCUGAACUGGACCUUUAAGGAAGGGACAUCUCCCAUGUGAGAGAGACCUCAGGAGUCAGCCACUCUCAAGCUCAUGGCCACAGUGUAGAUUACCAUUGUCCCUGAGGGUCCAUUGUGAAAGGUCUGCUGGGAACCUCUGAACUCAGUCAAUUAUUAAACACUUCUGACUUUGCUGCA
Long non-coding RNA from Rattus norvegicus (Norway rat), 620 nucleotides. RefSeq lists it as uncharacterized. The record is from RefSeq and is a predicted model, not a curated record. Lineage: Eukaryota; Metazoa; Chordata; Mammalia; Rodentia; Muridae.